AUGUCUCGAAGGAAUAUGUUUAAAUACUAUCAGUUAUUAUUUAGUAAAUUAAACCAAUGUAUAAAAUGUCAAUUUGUCAAUUGUUUUUUCGUAACAAAUAAACAACGACGUGGGGUUAAGUCAUUAUCAAUAAAUCACUCAAAGAAAGAAAUUAUGAAGACGGUAAAAUUGUUGUCAGGGUAUGACAUGCCUACUGUGGGUUUAGGUACCUGGCAGGCUAAACCUGAAGAAAUUGAAAAAGCUGUGUCAACUGCUUUAAAUGUUGGUUACAGACAUAUUGACACUGCAUUUAAUUAUAAUAAUGAAGAGGCAAUUGGGGCAGUAUUAAAAAAAUGGUUUGAAGAAGGUGGAAAACGAGAAGAUCUUUUCAUUACUUCAAAGUUACCCAAUUAUGGUAAUCGACCAUCAGAUGUGGAAAAGUUCAUUACCUUAUCCCUGAAAAAACUUGGCUUGAAUUAUUUGGAUAUGUACUUAAUUCAUAUGCCAUUUGCUUUUAAAUUAAAUGAAAGUACUAAUACUGCAGCAACUAAUGAAGAUGGAAGUUACGUGUUAGAUCUUGAUACAGAUCCUGUUUCAGUGUGGAAGCAAAUGGAAGAACAAGUUGAAAAGGGUCAUACAAGAUCUAUAGGUCUAAGUAAUUUUAAUGAAAAACAAGUCUUAAACAUUUGGGAAAAUGCACAAAUUAAACCAAGUAACUUACAAAUAGAAUUACAUGCUUACCUGCAACAAAAUUCAAUUAGACAAAUGUGCCAAAAGCACAAUAUUAUUGUAACAGCAUACAGUCCUCUGGGAUCACCAGGAGCUAAACAGCACUUUCAAACAAAAUACAAUCAUAAUGUUGAAGAUUUUCCUGAUCUUUUAGGACAUCCAAUAGUACAAAAAAUUAGUACGGAACACAAACGCUCACCGGCACAAAUUUUACUGCAUCAUCUGUUACAAUUAGGUGUUGUUGUAAUUCCAAAAAGUUCAUCCCCAGAAAGGAUUAAAGCAAAUAUUGAUUUAUUUGAUUUUACAUUAACAAAAAAAGAGAUGGAACUUUUAAGUACCUUAGAUAAGGGCCCUGGUGGAAGAAUUUUUAAUUUUCUAUUUUUCAAAGGUGUUGAAAAUCAUUCGCACUAUCCAUUCAAAGAUGAAUUACAAUCCUAAUUGAAAUACUGUUAACGUGUAGUUUGAGUACGUGUAUAUUUAUAUAUUACAAAUGAGUUAAGUGAAGUACAAAAAUUAAAAAAAUAUAUGAAUAAAUGCACAAAAACGAAAGAUGUUGUCGCAUUUCAGUCUAUAAUAAUCUGUAUAACAUUUUACGUUGCAUACGAUGUUGAAGUUCUCCGCGACGUAUCAUUGAAAUCUGCGUUUCAAUUGUUUCUCAAUACGAGAUAACAUUUCAUGAUCUUCGUUCGAGUAAUUUUAGAUUACCAGCUAAUGAUCCAGACAUUGCAGCAUCUAAAGUAGACACUUGGAAAAGUCGAAGCGCUUCGUUUACAUGAACUUCUGUAGCAAAAGGUUGUAAUCUCAUUUUAGCUAAAGAUUCAGAGAUUCUUAUUACAGCUUCCAAUUGGCGAACGGUUAUGGGAAUAGACAAUCUUUUUUCUGUGUCCUUCUCAUGAUCUCUUGUACUAGCUCGCAUUACGACAUAACGAUUUUUUAAUUUCUCUCCCGCGUCUUUACUAAGUCUUGGACCACAACGUCUGUAGGAAGUAUAUAAAUUAAUUCGGAAUAAAAAACAUAUUUAAAAGUAA
Osmia lignaria (orchard mason bee) is the source of this 1736-nucleotide non-coding RNA. The record is from RefSeq and is a predicted model, not a curated record. NCBI's taxonomy places the organism in Eukaryota, Metazoa, Arthropoda, Insecta, Hymenoptera, Megachilidae.